GGCAUCGUAUAAUGGCUAUUACCUCAGCCUUCCAAGCUGAUGAUGCGGGUUCGAUUCCUGAAGUGGCA
RNAcentral lists this transfer RNA (68 nucleotides) under Shigella dysenteriae. RNAcentral describes it as "tRNA-Gly". The stretch from base 7 to 61 matches the Rfam family "tRNA", at positions 10 to 63 of the family's 71-position model. Rfam says of the family: Transfer RNA (tRNA) molecules are approximately 80 nucleotides in length. Their secondary structure includes four short double-helical elements and three loops (D, anti-codon, and T loops). RNAcentral also lists the same sequence under 3 other names. The record is from RNAcentral. Lineage: Bacteria; Pseudomonadati; Pseudomonadota; Gammaproteobacteria; Enterobacterales; Enterobacteriaceae.